CCUACGGGUGGCAGCAGUGAGGAAUAUUGGUCAAUGGCCGGAAGGCUGAACCAGCCAAGUCGCGUGAGGGAUGACUGCCCUAUGGGUUGUAAACCUCUUUUAUAAGGGAAGAAUACAUGCUAUGUAUAGCAUCAUGUCUGUACCAUAUGAAUACGGAUCGGCUAACUCCGUGCCAGCAGCCGCGGUAAUACGGAGGAUGCGAGCGUUAUCCGGAUUUAUUGGGUUUAAAGGGAGCGUAGGUGGGUUGUUAAGUUUGUUGUGAAACCGUGCGGCUUAACCGUAAAAUUGCAAUUGAAAUUGUCAGUCUUGAGUACAGAAGAGGUAGGCGGAAUUAGUGGGGUAGCGGUGAAAUGCUUAGAUAUAACGAAGAACUCCGAUAGCGAAGGCAGCUUACUGGACUGCAACUGACGCUGAUGCUCGAAAGCGUGGGUAGCAAACAGGAUUAGAUACCCGGGUAGUC
RNAcentral lists this ribosomal RNA (460 nucleotides) under uncultured bacterium. RNAcentral describes it as "partial 16S ribosomal RNA". It matches the Rfam family "Bacterial small subunit ribosomal RNA", at positions 338 to 795 of the family's 1533-position model. The record is from RNAcentral.